CAGUGGCGAACGGGUGAGUAACACGUGGGCAAUCUGCCCUGCACUCUGGGACAAGCCCUGGAAACGGUGGUCUAAUACCGGAUAUGACCAUUGACCGCAUGGUUGGUGGUGUAAAGCUCCGGCGGUGCAGGAUGAGCCCGCGGCCUAUCAGCUUGUUGGUGGGGUGAUGGCCUACCAAGGCGACGACGGGUAGCCGGCCUGAGAGGGCGACCGGCCACACUGGGACUGAGACACGGCCCAGACUCCUACGGGAGGCAGCAGUGGGGAAUAUUGCACAAUGGGCGAAAGCCUGAUGCAGCGACGCCGCNGUGAGGGAUGACGGCCUUCGGGUUGUAAACCUCUUUCAGCAGGGAAGAAGCGCAAGUGACGGUACCUGCAGAAGAAGCACCGGCUAACUACGUGCCAGCAGCCCGCGGUAAUACGUAGGGUGCGAGCGUUGUCCGGAAUUAUUGGGCGUAAAGAGCUCGUAGGCGGCUUGUCGCGUCGGAUGUGAAAGCCCGGGGCUUAACUCCGGGUCUGCAUC
Molecule: ribosomal RNA, 523 nt
Filed under: Kitasatospora sp. 310B05
Lineage: Bacteria; Bacillati; Actinomycetota; Actinomycetes; Kitasatosporales; Streptomycetaceae
Description: bacterial SSU rRNA
Rfam family: Bacterial small subunit ribosomal RNA
Source: RNAcentral